Molecule: ribosomal RNA, 370 nt
Filed under: uncultured organism
Description: bacterial SSU rRNA
Rfam family: Bacterial small subunit ribosomal RNA
Source: RNAcentral
CGAAGGGGGCUAGCGUUGUUCGGAAUUACUGGGCGUAAAGCGCGCGCAGGUGGUCUUUCAAGUCAGUGGUGAAAGCCCGGAGCUCAACUCCGGAAAUGCCAUUGAAACUGUAAGACUUGAGGAUGAGAGAGGUGAGUGGAAUUCCCAGUGUAGAGGUGAAAUUCGUAGAUAUUGGGAAGAACACCGGUGGCGAAGGCGGCUCACUGGCUCAUAUCUGACGCUCAGGCGCGACAGCGUGGGGAUCAAACAGGAUUAGAUACCCUGGUAGUCCACGCCGUAAACGAUGAAUGCUAGCCGUUGGGCAGCUUGCUGUUCAGUGGCGCAGCUAACGCAUUAAGCAUUCCGCCUGGGGAGUACGGCCGCAAGGUUG